RNAcentral lists this unclassified non-coding RNA (335 nucleotides) under fungal sp. Its description in RNAcentral is "partial internal transcribed spacer region". The stretch from base 1 to 46 matches the Rfam family "Eukaryotic small subunit ribosomal RNA", at positions 1786 to 1831 of the family's 1831-position model. The record is from RNAcentral. RNAcentral also lists the same sequence under 1 other name. Lineage: Eukaryota; Fungi.
AAGUCGUAACAAGGUUUCCGUAGGUGAACCUGCGGAAGGAUCAUUAACGAAUAAACUCGGCGAGCUGCUGCUGGCCCCUUCGGGAGCAUGUGCACGCUCGUUGCCGUUUCUUCUUUCUCCACCUGUGCACCUUUGUAGGCCUUUGACACAGUUUCGGGAGGGUGUUUUUUCACGCUCUCGGUUUUGAGGAGCUGUUGCUUUCACUGGCGACUUUCCUUACGUCUUUGGCCUACUCACAACACACACACGCUCGAGUAAUGGAACGUCUUUUUAUGGGUCCGCCGUGGCCUCUAAAACCCCCUAUACAACUUUCAACAACGGAUCUCUUGGCUCUC